CCUACGGGUGACAGCAGUGAGGAAUAUUGGUCAAUGGGCGGGAGCCUGAACCAGCCAAGUCGCGUGAGGGAAGACGGUCCUAUGGAUUGUAAACCUCUUUAGGCGGGGAGCAAUGCCGGGCACGCGUGCCCGGAGGGAGAGUACCCGAAGAAUAAGCAUCGGCGAACUCCGUGCCAGCAGCCGCGGUAAUACGGAGGAUGCGAGCGUUAUCCGGAUUUAUGGGGUUUAAAGGGUGCGUAGGCGGAUUUUUAAGUCAGCGGUAAAAUGUCCGGGCUCAACCUGGGCCGGCCGUUGAAACUGGGGAUCUUGAGUGGGCGAGAAGUAUGCGGAAUGCGUGGUGUAGCGGUGAAAUGCAUAGAUAUCACGCAGAACUCCGAUUGCGAAGGCAGCAUACCGGCGCCCGACUGACGCUGAGGCACGAAAGCGUGGGGAUCGAACAGGAUUAGAUACCCGGGUAGUC
Molecule: ribosomal RNA, 460 nt
Filed under: uncultured bacterium
Lineage: Bacteria
Description: partial 16S ribosomal RNA
Rfam family: Bacterial small subunit ribosomal RNA
Source: RNAcentral